Panicum hallii is the source of this 409-nucleotide long non-coding RNA. RefSeq lists it as uncharacterized. The record is from RefSeq and is a predicted model, not a curated record. NCBI's taxonomy places the organism in Eukaryota, Viridiplantae, Streptophyta, Magnoliopsida, Poales, Poaceae. The transcript is spliced from 3 exons.
CUUACAGCACAUACUGGACAGAAUGAAAGCAUAAAGCAUACAUAGCCUGGUGCCCUGAUUUCAUGGUACUCGAGCUGCUACCGAGUACCGAUACGAUGGCUCGCUCUCUUACGACGCCACAUUGCACCGAAGGAGUGAUUUGGACGACCUUGAGCAAGGUAGCAGAUGCAUGGAUCAGGGCCACGGAUCGACUCCCUCAAGUCAGAGACCAAGGUACCUUGUAGACGGCGGAGCCAAAUGCGUAUGCGCGCCUGACUCAGAAAAUAAACAGCCGUUUUGUUCGCUACUACGAAGCUGGAACCACGGAAGCAAAAGGUGCGCCAGGGCCAAGGGCAGCAGCAAGUUGAGAGAAAUUCAUGAGCAUUUCAAUCGUUGGAGAUGGAAUAGCUGCUCCUGUCUUUUUUCUAGA